UACGUAGGCAGCAAGCGUUGUUCGGAGUUACUGGGCGUAAAGAGUGUGUAGGCGGUCCUUUAAGUUCGGUGUGAAAUCUCCCGGCUCAACUGGGAGGGUGCGCCGGAAACUGGAGGGCUUGAGUGUGGGAGAGGAAAGCGGAAUUCCUGGUGUAGCGGUGAAAUGCGUAGAUAUCAGGAGGAACACCUGUGGUGUAGACAGCUUUCUGGACCACGACUGACGCUGAGACACGAAAGCGUGGGUAGCAAACAGG
This 253-nucleotide ribosomal RNA is filed under the name uncultured Acidobacteriota bacterium. Its description in RNAcentral is "uncultured Acidobacteria bacterium partial 16S ribosomal RNA". It matches the Rfam family "Bacterial small subunit ribosomal RNA", at positions 524 to 776 of the family's 1533-position model. The record is from RNAcentral. Lineage: Bacteria; Pseudomonadati; Acidobacteriota.